This 330-nucleotide long non-coding RNA is filed under the name Homo sapiens (human). Its description in RNAcentral is "HSALNT0337265". Lineage: Eukaryota; Metazoa; Chordata; Mammalia; Primates; Hominidae. The record is from RNAcentral.
CAAUAUUUUCUUUCAGACUCAGGCAAGGCUGGUCCCUGCCCUGGGCUCCACACUUCAGAGGGCCCUGGGCUCCACACUUCAGAGGGCCCUGGGCUCCACACUUCAGAGGGCCCUGGGUAUGACAAAACUAUGAAAAAAAAGAUCCUUAGGAAUGACUACAGUCAAAAUCACAAAAGAAGUAGAAAAUGUAAAAGUAACCCCAAAAUAGAAAGAAGAAAUAAUCUUCAAAGAGGAUGUUUUCUUAAAUUGUUUAAACUCACAACUAAAUUGAACAAAUACGGCAGUGGUAAAACUGUUAGCUUGGAAGGGAUGUCGCCCUGAAGGACUGAG